Molecule: ribosomal RNA, 534 nt
Filed under: Fusarium sp. C56
Lineage: Eukaryota; Fungi; Ascomycota; Sordariomycetes; Hypocreales; Nectriaceae
Description: eukaryotic LSU rRNA
Rfam family: 5.8S ribosomal RNA (bases 171-324)
Source: RNAcentral
GUGAACAGCGGAGGGAUCAUUACCGAGUUUACAACUCCCAAACCCCUGUGAACAUACCAAUUGUUGCCUCGGCGGAUCAGCCCGCUCCCGGUAAAACGGGACGGCCCGCCAGAGGACCCCUAAACUCUGUUUCUAUCUGUUUCUCUGAGUACAACAAGCAAAUAAAUUAAAACUUUCAACAACGGAUCUCUUGGCUCUGGCAUCGAUGAAGAACGCAGCAAAAUGCGAUAAGUAAUGUGAAUUGCAGAAUUCAGUGAAUCAUCGAAUCUUUGAACGCACAUUGCGCCCGCCAGUAUUCUGGCGGGCAUGCCUGUUCGAGCGUCAUUUCAACCCUCAGGCCCCCGGGCCUGGUGUUGGGGAUCGGCGGAGCCCUCCGGGGCACACGCCGUCCCCCAAAUUGAUUGGCGGUCACGUCGAGCUUCCAUAGCGUAGUAGCUAACACCUCGCAACUGGAAGGCGGCGCGGCCACGCCGUUAAACCCCCCAACUUCUGAAUGUUGACCUCGGAUCAGGUAGGAAUACCCGCUGAACUUAA